GACGAACGCUGGCGGCGUGCUUAACACAUGCAAGUCGAACGGAAAGGCCUGCUUUCCCUUGUGGAUUGCGGGUACUCGAGUGGCGAACGGGUGAGUAACACGUGAGUGAUCUGCCCCCAACUUGGGUAUAAGCCUGGGAAACUGGGUCUAAUUCCCGAUAGGACUGCAGGGUGGUGCCUGUGGUGGAAAACGAUUUUCUAGUGGUUGGGGAUGAGCUCGCGGCCUAUCAGCUUGUUGGUGGGGUAAUGGCCUACCAAGGCGGCGACGGGUAGCCGGCCUGGGGGGGUGGACGGCCAAAUGGGACUGAGAUACGGCCCAGACUCCUACGGGAGGCAGCAGUGGGGAAUAUUGCACAAUGGGCGGAAGCCUGAUGCAGCGACGCCGCGUGGGGGAUGACGGCCUUCGGGUUGUAAACUCCUUUCGACCGCGAGGAAGCCACCUGGUUGGAAGGGUGGUGACGGUAGUGGUAGAAGAAGCACCGGCUAACUACGUG
Molecule: ribosomal RNA, 493 nt
Filed under: uncultured bacterium
Lineage: Bacteria
Description: partial 16S ribosomal RNA
Rfam family: Bacterial small subunit ribosomal RNA
Source: RNAcentral